Long non-coding RNA from Oncorhynchus masou masou (cherry salmon), 646 nucleotides. RefSeq lists it as uncharacterized. NCBI's taxonomy places the organism in Eukaryota, Metazoa, Chordata, Actinopteri, Salmoniformes, Salmonidae. The transcript is spliced from 3 exons. The record is from RefSeq and is a predicted model, not a curated record.
UUCUCAUCUUUAGUUAUUGGACUCAAGCUAUUAAUGUUUUCUGUGAAGCCCUUGAAACCAACCUUUAAAUCCUACCUUCUGUCUGUUCAGACUGAUCUAAAAAAAACUCCACAGCCGCCUAUCAAGAAGUUUGCUUCCUGGGGCCAAGUUACUUCCAGUAUCAGGGCCAUGGGACUUUCUCAUGAUGGAAAAAUACAGAGAGGCAUGAAGACAGGAACUGUUCAAAUUAGUUGGGAGGGGGGCACAUUCAGAGCGGGGUGUUGCGAGAACAAGCGGUCUUUUGUUAGAUAACAGGAGCCAGGUGCGAGAUAACGGUAUGGAGCAUGAGAGCCUGGAUGUUCUUCACAUCUAUCAACAGAAGCGCCAGGAGGCGGGGCCCGCCUGAGCGCCUGCAAUAGACUGGACAAGUUUAAACCACGCCCAGUCUCUACUGUGAUAGGCCAACAGACGGGUUGGAACUGUCUAUCACAGUAUAAAGAAUACUGUUUUACAUACGUCUUGUCAGUUCUCUGUUCUGCCCUGCGUGGUAUUACAGAGAGCCCGUAUAUACGAAAGUUGCAUUUGCCAUUUAUUACUUAGCUAAUAAAAAAUACAUAGUAUAAAAUCGGUGACUCAUUGUUAUAUUUAUCCUGAUACCAGAUUUGAA